UGGGGAAUUUUGGACAAUGGGCGAAAGCCUGAUCCAGCAAUGCCGCGUGUGUGAAGAAGGCCUUCGGGUUGUAAAGCACUUUUGUCCGGAAAGAAAUCCUUGGCUCUAAUACAGUCGGGGGAUGACGGUACCGGAAGAAUAAGCACCGGCUAACUACGUGCCAGCAGCCGCGGUAAUACGUAGGGUGCAAGCGUUAAUCGGAAUUACUGGGCGUAAAGCGUGCGCAGGCGGUUUGCUAAGACCGAUGUGAAAUCCCCGGGCUCAACCUGGGAACUGCAUUGGUGACUGGCAGGCUAGAGUGUGGCAGAGGGGGGUAGAAUUCCACGUGUAGCAGUGAAAUGCGUAGAGAUGUGGAGGAAUACCGAUGGCGAAGGCAGCCCCCUGGGCCAAUACUGACGCUCAUGCACGAAAGCGUGGGGAGCAAACAGGAUUAGAUACCCUGGUAGUCCACGCCCUAAACGAUGUCAACUAGUUGUUGGGAUUCAUUCUUAGUAACGUAGCUAACGCGUGAAGUUGACCGCCUGGGGAGUACGGUCGCAAGAUUAAAACUCAAAUGAAUUGACGGGGUCAUAGCUGUUUCCU
RNAcentral lists this ribosomal RNA (582 nucleotides) under uncultured bacterium. RNAcentral's name for it is "partial 16S ribosomal RNA". It matches the Rfam family "Bacterial small subunit ribosomal RNA", at positions 355 to 1375 of the family's 1533-position model. The record is from RNAcentral.